UUUUGAUGGUUUUGAAAAGCUUACAUAACUCCUCUUUUGCUCCAUAUUUCUCUCAAAUUUUCCUUUUAAAAAAGAGUCCCACCAUUUUAUUCCAAGCAUUGAGAAUAGCUAGGAAGACCUCUUGGUGGUCGUUGUCUAUCUAUCUAAUCCGUCCCACAAUGGGGAUGUAGCCGAUUACAAGGUGGCUGACGACGAACUGUUAGUGUCGUCAGUGUCUCUCAAUCCUCUGAAGGGUUGAGGUACUAUCCAUGCUCCCUACGUCCACGUCCAUGACCGGCUCCAUAACCAUAUUGUGUGGUGGCAAAUGUGGUGUGUGAAACUGACUUUAACCAGGGUCGGUAGAAUAACCAUAGGCGUGGACGGGCCAACAUCAUCUUGUGUAUGUGGUAAAAGGUGGAACGUCCUCGACAUUAUGAUAUAUAUAACUUCAAGUACAGGAACAUUAAGCUCGAUUGAAGCAUCCUGCUCUACUUGAUGACGUCCUCUACGCUUGGGGCCGUGAGCAGGUGUAGGAAUGAUUGAAUUCAGCUAAGGAUGAGAGGAGUGCUGCCAAGAUCGUGGGGAUUAUGCUAGAGCGUUGAAAAAUAAGCGUUAAUGCUGGAGCCUAUAGUCGCCCGGAUGCCCCAGAGCGAUGACAGUGUAGUAACUCAUUGAGCUUAAAUUGUUACCGCAUUCGUACAACCUGCAAGGGGUGCCAUAAAUUUUAAGGACCCGGUAUAUACGAAAAUUAUGCCCUAGUCGAAAAGGGGGGAGACAUUAUUGAUCCAUUUUGGGUAGCAUUGAUUUGAGGGAACAUUCCCUCAUUGACAUCAGUGGUUUUCAUCGAAGAAGGAGUUGGAGCGUAUUUGUCUUGCUCGUGGGUCACACCGUAUACCUGAGGAAGCUUAUUAUUCUCUAUCAUCUUCAUCAACAAUGUAUUCUUCUUAUGUCUUUUCCAUUCCUUUCCUAUUUUUCAUUAUGA
Molecule: long non-coding RNA, 961 nt
Organism: Momordica charantia (bitter melon)
Lineage: Eukaryota; Viridiplantae; Streptophyta; Magnoliopsida; Cucurbitales; Cucurbitaceae
Source: RefSeq, a predicted model, not a curated record